Molecule: ribosomal RNA, 403 nt
Filed under: Mesorhizobium sp.
Lineage: Bacteria; Pseudomonadati; Pseudomonadota; Alphaproteobacteria; Hyphomicrobiales; Phyllobacteriaceae
Description: bacterial SSU rRNA
Rfam family: Bacterial small subunit ribosomal RNA
Source: RNAcentral
UUGGUGCCUUCGGGAACUCUGAGACAGGUGCUGCAUGGCUGUCGUCAGCUCGUGUUGUGAAAUGUUGGGUUAAGUCCCGCAACGAGCGCAACCCUUAUCCUUUGUUGCCAGCGGUUCGGCCGGGAACUCAAAGGAGACUGCCAGUGAUAAACUGGAGGAAGGUGGGGAUGACGUCAAGUCAUCAUGGCCCUUACGAGUAGGGCUACACACGUGCUACAAUGGCGUAUACAAAGAGAAGCGAACCUGCGAGGGCAAGCGGACCUCAUAAAGUACGUCGUAGUCCGGAUUGGAGUCUGCAACUCGACUCCAUGAAGUCGGAAUCGCUAGUAAUCGUAGAUCAGAAUGCUACGGUGAAUACGUUCCCGGGCCUUGUACACACCGCCCGUCACACCAUGGGAGUGGG